GUUGAAAAUUGAGCAAGUUAUGGUUAUUAUAACGUGCAUGCACCGCUACUACUCAAUGUUAUGAGUCAGAGAGCUGACUGUGGCAAGAUGGCCGCCAGUGCGGACAAGAUUGUCCUUUCGCGGGCCUAAGCCCGUCGGAUUUUCUCAACGCAUGCGCGUGGUCGACGUCACUUCCUCCUCUCUCCUUUUCCUAUCCACUUUUCCUUAAACCCCGGAAGCGUGGCGGCCAUGAUAAGAAGCGUCCGAAUUCUCUAAAAGCUAAGGAAAGUAGGAUUAAAGCUUCCUACAUAACCUCCUUUAUCUUAGGAAACACCGAUUUAUCCUUUAGUAAAGACAACAUUUAAAAAAAGGACCCGCUCGUCCGAACAUUCACCGAAACCCACGAUGACUGAAAAGGGACGUAGAGCAUUCACAGACGCUGAAACCCUUGCGUUGAUUAAGGCCAGGGUUAAACUGAACACACUCUUCGGGAGGAAGAGGAAUUCGGCAAAGCUUGGCUGGGAGCAGGUGGUGAAGGAGAUGGGGCUGGAGGGCCAGGUCACUGCCAUGCAGGCUUCAAAAAAAUGGGACAAUUUAAAAACUAAAUACAAGGAGCUGAGGAACCCCCUCAGCAGAUCGUACACAGACAACGUUGAGGCCACUGCAGCCAACUGGCCCUGGUUUGAUGUCAUGCAUGAGGUUCUGGGGGAUGGGCCUAUCAUUCAGCUUCCCACCUUGGUUUCCUCAUGCCCGAUGCCAAAGGUAGAGCAGAUUGAGCCUUCAUCAUCCUCCCUCCAGCCUGCCACUGAUGAUGAGGAGUCUCAGCCCCCCACCAAAAGGAAGCGGGUGGGGCCCCUGUUGACGUUCUUGAGGGAGCAGGCCAAAAAAGAUGAUGCGUUCAAUGCUGCUCUCCUGGAGCAGAAUGAGCGCUUCUUGAGUCUGCUGGGACCUUCAAAGAUGACGUCACAACGUAAAAAAGAUGGGAACCAACAACUGCAAAGCAGGAAAAGAAG
Molecule: long non-coding RNA, 992 nt
Filed under: Gouania willdenowi (blunt-snouted clingfish)
Lineage: Eukaryota; Metazoa; Chordata; Actinopteri; Blenniiformes; Gobiesocidae
Description: lncRNA (ENSGWIG00000019520.1)
Source: RNAcentral